GGAAAGAUAAGCUAAGUUUAAGCUCAUAGGUUCAUACCCUGUUUAUGGAGACAUUUCUCCUCUUUCUA
This 68-nucleotide transfer RNA is filed under the name Maccaffertium mediopunctatum. RNAcentral describes it as "tRNA-Met". The record is from RNAcentral. Lineage: Eukaryota; Metazoa; Arthropoda; Insecta; Ephemeroptera; Heptageniidae.